GCCAGUGUGGCUGAAAGGGAGAGAGGAGGCAAGACAGGGCCUCGGAGGCCGUGAAGUUCCCUCUAAUCUGCUGUGAGGAGCAAACGUGGCAGCAGAGAGACCAGUGUGGAGGCUGUAGGUGAGGAUGGCGGUGGAGCUGGACAGAAGCGGACGAUUCAGGACAGACAGUGGAGGUGGCGUCACCACUCAGAUGUCACCACUUCAAAGAGGCCUUUCCUGACCAUCUGGCUCACUAGAAUAUGAGUGCCAAGAGGGCAGGAGUUUGUCUGUUGUGUGGCAGAGACCAACAAUAAGAAGUUGACACUUCAACAAGAUCCUUUCUGCUAGGGAUACGUGCUAUCAGAAGAAUCAGGGUCCCUCAGGCUGCCUUGUGGAGAACGGACUAUCUGGGGGCAAAAAUGGAAGAAGGGAAUUUAUUCACCCACCCAAACGGAGCCCCUACCUUGUGCCAGGCAUCGUCCCGACACUGGAGAUAGAGCAGCGAACAACUGUGACAAAAAACCUCUGUCCUCAGGGAGCUCACGUUCUUGCGUUGGGAGCCUGGGGAUAAACUGGAGAAGUGAGCAAAGCCCUUGGUGUGCCAGGAAACACCAGGAACUCCGGAGAGACCUUCACUGAGUUCUGGCGAAACGAGUGAGUUGACUGAGUCCUCUACAUGCCUGGCGCUGUGUGGAGUGUUUCCCCGCAUCGUCUCAUCCAAUCCUCAGAAAUAAUCGUGUGCAGGAAGUGCCGUUACUUUCCUUUCUUUUACAAAUAAAGAAC
RNAcentral lists this long non-coding RNA (762 nucleotides) under Equus caballus (horse). RNAcentral describes it as "lncRNA (ENSECAG00000052646.1)". Lineage: Eukaryota; Metazoa; Chordata; Mammalia; Perissodactyla; Equidae. The record is from RNAcentral.